RNAcentral lists this ribosomal RNA (254 nucleotides) under uncultured bacterium. RNAcentral's name for it is "partial 16S ribosomal RNA". It matches the Rfam family "Bacterial small subunit ribosomal RNA", at positions 524 to 776 of the family's 1533-position model. The record is from RNAcentral.
UACGUAGGGGCCUAGCGUUGUCCGGAUUUAUUGGGCGUAAAGAGCUCGUAGGCGGUUUGGUGAGUCGGGUGUGAAAUCUCCACGCUCAACGUGGAGGGGCCACCCGAUACUGCCAUGACUAGAGUCCGGUAGGGGAGUGUGGAAUUCCCGGUGUAGCGGUGAAAUGCGCAGAUAUCGGGAGGAACACCAGUAGCGAAGGCGACAUCCUGGACCAAUAUUGACGCUGAGGAGCGAAAGCCAGGGGAGCAAACGGG